AACGAACGCUGGCGGCAUGCCUAACACAUGCAAGUCGAACGAGACCUUCGGGUCUAGUGGCGCACGGGUGCGUAACGCGUGGGAAUCUGCCCUUGGGUUCGGAAUAACUCGCCGAAAGAUGUGCUAAUACCGCGUAAGACCACGGCAUCGCAUGGUGCAGGGGUCAAAGGAGCAAUCCGGUUUAAGAUGGGCUCGCGUCCGAUUAGCUAGUUGGUGAGAUAACAGCCCACCAAGGCAACGAUCGGUAGCCGACCUGAGAGGGUGAUCGGCCACAUUGGAACUGAGACACGGUCCAG
This 296-nucleotide ribosomal RNA is filed under the name uncultured bacterium. RNAcentral describes it as "partial 16S ribosomal RNA". It matches the Rfam family "Bacterial small subunit ribosomal RNA", at positions 29 to 334 of the family's 1533-position model. The record is from RNAcentral.